UACGACUACAUAUCAGGCAUAUCAAUAAGCGGAGGAAAAGGAACUAACAAGGAUUCCCUUAGUAACGGCGAGUGAAGCGGGAAGAGCUCAAAUUUGAAAUCUUCAAGGUUUUACCUUGACGAAUUGUAGUUUAAAGAAGUGUUUUCUGUUGAAGUUUCGGUAAAAGUUCUUUGGAAUAGGACAUCAUAGAGGGUGAGAAUCCCGUAUUUGACCGUUAUUUUCAGCUGUGUGAUACACUUUCAAAGAGUCGGAUUGUUUGGGAAUGCAGUCCAAAAUGGGUGGUAAAUUUCAUCUAAAGCUAAAUAUUGGCGAGAGACCGAUAGCGAACAAGUACCGUGAGGGAAAGAUGAAAAGAACUUUGAAAAGAGAGUUAAACAGUACGUGAAAUUGUCAAAAGGGAAGCGUUUGACACCAGUGUUGUUUUCUCGAAAAUCAAUUAAGAAAGAUUGGAUUUUGUGUUGUAUUGACUUUAUCAGCUUUCUGCACUCUUUUCUUGUCUUUUUUAAUGCACUUUUCGUUUAACAAGUCAACAUCAAUUUCUUUUGUUGUAAAAGAGUCAUUGGAAGGUGGCUUUCACUUCGGUGAAAGUGUUUAUAGCCUUUGACUUCUGCAAUCGGAGAGAUUGAGGUCUGCAGCGUAGAUCCUUCGGGGUUAGAUACGUAGAUGCUAAGUUAUAGUUUUUCAUAGACAACUUGUUGACUAUGAUUAAUCAUGUAGCUUACUCGUUUGCGCUAUUUUACCUACGCUUAGGAUGUUGACGCGCGUGUGUGCGU
RNAcentral lists this ribosomal RNA (773 nucleotides) under uncultured Neocallimastigales. RNAcentral's name for it is "partial large subunit ribosomal RNA". It matches the Rfam family "Eukaryotic large subunit ribosomal RNA", at positions 24 to 640 of the family's 3401-position model. Lineage: Eukaryota; Fungi; Neocallimastigomycota; Neocallimastigomycetes; Neocallimastigales. The record is from RNAcentral.